CAGUAGCCGCGGGAAUACGAAGGGUGCAAGCGUUAAUCGGAAUUACUGGGCGUAAAGCGUGCGUAGGCGGUGAGUUAAGUCUGCUGUGAAAUCCCCGGGCUCAACCUGGGAACUGCAUUCAAAACUGCCGGGCUUGAGUAUGGGAGAGGUGAGUGGAAUUCCAGGUGUAGCGGUGAAAUGCGUAGAUAUCUGGAGGAACAUCUGUGGCGAAAGCGGCUCACUGGACCAUAACUGACGCUGAUGCACGAAAGCUAGGGGAGCAAACAGGAUUAGAUACCCGCGUAGUCCCUGUCUCUUAUAC
RNAcentral lists this ribosomal RNA (301 nucleotides) under uncultured bacterium. RNAcentral's name for it is "partial 16S ribosomal RNA". It matches the Rfam family "Bacterial small subunit ribosomal RNA", at positions 509 to 807 of the family's 1533-position model. The record is from RNAcentral.